RNAcentral lists this ribosomal RNA (430 nucleotides) under Sesamia nonagrioides (Mediterranean corn borer). RNAcentral describes it as "partial 16S ribosomal RNA". Lineage: Eukaryota; Metazoa; Arthropoda; Insecta; Lepidoptera; Noctuidae. The record is from RNAcentral.
UUAAAGGGCUGCAGUAUAUUGACUGUACAAAGGUAGCAUAAUCAUUAGUCAUUUAAUUGAUGACUUGUAUGAAGGAUUGGAUGAAAUAUAAACUGUCUCUUAAUUAUAUUUAGAAUUUAAUUUUUUAAUUAAAAAGUUAAAAUAAAUUAGAAAGACGAGAAGACCCUAUAGAGUUUUAUAAGUAAAAUUAAUUGAGAUUAUUUGUAAAGGUUAAGAUUAAGAUUAAUUUAUUUAUUUUGUUGGGGUGACAGAAAAAUAUGAAAAACUUUUUAUAAGUUUAAAACAUUAAUAAGUGGUUAAAUGAUCCAAUAUUAUUGAUUAUAAGAAAAAAUUACCUUAGGGAUAACAGCGUAAUUUUUUUUUUUAGUUCAUAUAAAAAAAAAAGUUUGCGACCUCGAUGUUGGAUUAAGAUAAAAUUUAAAUGCAGAAG